This 468-nucleotide ribosomal RNA is filed under the name uncultured bacterium. Its description in RNAcentral is "partial 16S ribosomal RNA". It matches the Rfam family "Bacterial small subunit ribosomal RNA", at positions 28 to 507 of the family's 1533-position model. The record is from RNAcentral.
GACGAACGCUGGCGGCGUGCUUAACACAUGCAAGUCGAACGGAAAGGCCCUGCUUUUGUGGGGUGCUCGAGUGGCGAACGGGUGGGUAACACGUGAGGAACCUGCCCUUGACUUUGGGAUAACUUCAGGAAACUGGGGCUAAUACCGGAUAGGAGCUCCUGCUGCAUGGUGGGGGUUGGAAAGUUUCGGCGGUUGGGGAUGGACUCGCGGCUUAUCAGCUUGUUGGUGGGGUAGUGGCUUACCAAGGCUUUGACGGGUAGCCGGCCUGAGAGGGUGACCGGCCACAUUGGGACUGAGAUACGGCCCAGACUCCUACGGGAGGCAGCAGUGGGGAAUAUUGCACAAUGGGCGGAAGCCUGAUGCAGCAACGCCGCGUGCGGGAUGACGGCCUUCGGGUUGUAAACCGCUUUCGCCUGUGACGAAGCGUGAGUGACGGUAAUGGGUAAAGAAGCACCGGCUAACUACGUG